Molecule: ribosomal RNA, 535 nt
Filed under: Prochilodus costatus
Lineage: Eukaryota; Metazoa; Chordata; Actinopteri; Characiformes; Prochilodontidae
Description: partial small subunit ribosomal RNA
Rfam family: Bacterial small subunit ribosomal RNA
Source: RNAcentral
UAUAGCCAAAGACCUCCCAAGCCGUCACACGCACCCCGGAGGCACGAAGCCCAAACACGAAAGUAGCUUUAUUAACUUACCGACGCCACGAAAGCUAAGAAACAAACUGGGAUUAGAUACCCCACUAUGCUUAGCCUUAAACUCAGAUGUUACAAAUACAAAUAACAUCCGCCAGGGUACUACAAGCGCUAGCUUAAAACCCAAAGGACUUGACGGUGUCUCAGACCCACCUAGAGGAGCCUGUUCUAGAACCGAUAAUCCCCGUUAAACCUCACCACCCCUUGCUAAUCCCGCCUAUAUACCGCCGUCGCAAGCUUACCCUGUGAAGGACUCAUAGUAAGCAAAAUGGGUAAAUCCCAAAACGUCAGGUCGAGGUGUAGCUUACGAGGUGGAAAGAAAUGGGCUACAUUUUCUAUAACAGAAUACUACGGACAACACCAUGAAACUGGUGCUCAAAGGUGGAUUUAGUAGUAAAAAUCAAAUAGAGCGUGUUUUUGAACCAGGCUCUGAGACGCGCACACACCGCCCGUCACUC